GUAGGCAGCAAGCGUUGUUCGGAGUUACUGGGCGUAAAGGGUGUGUAGGCGGCUCUCUAAGUUUGGUGUGAAAUCUCCCGGCUCAACUGGGAGGGUGCGCCGAAUACUGAAGGGCUAGAGUGCGGGAGAGGAGAGUGGAAUUCCUGGUGUAGCGGUGAAAUGCGUAGAUAUCAGGAGGAACACCGGUGGUGUAGACGGCUCUCUGGACCGUAACUGACGCUGAGACACGAAAGCGUGGGUAGCAAACAGGAUUAGAUACCCUGGUAGUCCACGCCCUAAACGAUGCAUAUUUGGUGUGGGUCAUUCAGUUGAUCCGUGCCGGAGCUAACGCGUUAAAUAUGCCGCCUGGGGAGUACAGUCGCAAGG
This 366-nucleotide ribosomal RNA is filed under the name uncultured bacterium. RNAcentral describes it as "bacterial SSU rRNA". It matches the Rfam family "Bacterial small subunit ribosomal RNA", at positions 527 to 893 of the family's 1533-position model. The record is from RNAcentral.